Long non-coding RNA from Gasterosteus aculeatus aculeatus (three-spined stickleback), 11817 nucleotides. NCBI's taxonomy places the organism in Eukaryota, Metazoa, Chordata, Actinopteri, Perciformes, Gasterosteidae. The record is from Ensembl.
GUCCACAUUUAAGUGCUUCUCUGACGGGCGUCCCCGCCGGUUUAGAUUGAGCAUUUCGCGCUACGCUGCCUCUCCCACACAUGCCCUGAUUUGAUAUUAAUAUCAAUCUUCUUUUUACCCUUCUCUUCAUUGAGAUUAGCGCUCCCCCGCACCCCCCUCCACCCCCUCCAACCCCCUCUUCUUCCCUCCAAUUCUGACAUCCAUUCUGGUCCAAGGAGGACAGCGUGAAACAUACUUUGCCGUAGAAGAAUAAAAUCCCAAAUUGGUAUUUUUGUGAGCGCACACGUCCAAGUUAAGCUCACAUAAGUUUAUGCAUUGCAAAUAAACUACCCCCCCCCCCCCUCGCAUUCAUACGCACAAAUGUUUAAAACGGGCACACAUCCCACAUUACUUCUUGUAGCACUGCGCUGAAAGAAAGAGUUUAUUAUGUUGGGAAAAUAACAACAGCUUCGUUUGAAGUGUCAUCGCAAACUGUCGAGAAAUGAAACGAAAACAGGAAGCGAAAAGACAGCGGCGCUGUCGCCAAAGGAGGCCGACGGCCAACGGCAUAUCAGCGUGUCCUGUCGCCCUGCCUUUGUUCAACCCUGACACCUGAAUCCCACUCAGACACAAGCGGGGUCGCAGGUCAGACCCCCAGCACUGACAAAUGGCAUCCGGACGUGACCUCGCCCCCCCCGGUGGGGCAAAGACAACGAAGGGGAAACACGGCCGGGCUGCUUUACGUGCACUUGGCCUUUAAUUGACAUUAAUUCUGUAUGAAAGGUCCUCCUGUGAUAUAAGGCCAUUAAAGCGUCCAUCAAAGGCUGACAAAGCUCGGGCCUAAGCGCUGGAAGGACGGUGGUGAGAACAAACCUUUAAGUCCCUAAUCAGCCGAUGAAGGAAAUUACACGGCUUCAACCCUGAAACAUUCAAUUAGCAGUUUAUGCAUCAUGUUAUGUCACAUCUCUCCCUGCGUUUGCCUGGCGGCAGUUCGCAGUCCGUUUGACACUGAACACUUCUUUCAGAUCUCCCCCCGUCGUCUCAUUGUCAAGUCUGACCUAAGGUCAGUUUCCUGUCUCUGAUAUCCCCGUUUCAGAAUACACGAGAACCAAUAACUGCUACACGCAACCGGGCGCGCGCGACAAAUCAAACUCAAGAUCCCUUCUUUACGGCGCAGCUUUUUGCCCGGACUCACAAUCAGAGCGUGUCCCUCGGUGAGGGUGUGUGGCCGUUUCACAUUCCUGUUGCCGGGUCACCUUGGAGCAUUUUGGUGCACGCGGCAUGAGGGUCCCGCCGCUGUCUACCGGCGCGCUUCGCUGAGCACUUCCCCAAGCGCGACACUCCCACUCCAGCAGGGAUUUCCACACACCAGUGGUUGAAUCUUCCUCUGGGCCUCCAUUGCUAACCAUUAGAGGCGGAUUAGGAGAGCGGGUGAACGGUAAGAGGAAGGGCUCCUGGUGCUCGCUGUCAGGUGCAUUUCACGACCAAGGACCUCAGAUGACCGUCCAGGGUUAGAGAGACAGCUCGGCUCUUGGUUUUAACUUGCUAUUCAAACCAACUAAAGACCAGAAAACAACAGCAAGUAAAUUCAAAGCCACGAGCUCGGGGGUCUGAGACUGAAUAGCUCCGAUUGAUGGUCUUUUUACGGGACUCUACAGCGACUCACUGGCCUACUGCGACCUUCUCUUAAUGAUAAAAGCAGGUUUGUAUCAACUCCUGCUGGUAAACAACCGAACAUCGCUCAGAUACAUUUCGCAGACGUUCAGUCAGGGGAAGAACUAAAAGCUUUCUGAAACAAAUAGUUGGCGACAGGAUAUAACGAGUCCCACAUAGAGCGAGGAGGUUUAAUCGCAUUCCUAAAGUUCCCAGAGAAACAGCAGCUUUUGUAAUGUGAAACAUUUGUCCUCGAUUGCACCUCAAGAAUCAGAAACGAAUGAAGCAGACCUCACCACGUUCUUUAGAUAAGCAAAACCGUUAGCGUUAGGUGGUUUUAGGUAACAUAGCUAAAAUCAGUUCCCUGCUGCAUCCUGAAAUGACACAGAUGAGACCAGUGAGACUGAACCUAAACAGCAAAGAGUGACGUGUUGGACGCACGCUACGUAGGGCUGAGAACUGCCGAGAUCUCUGAGGGAACAUCAGUAUCAGCAUGGGCAACUUUACAUUCCAGAUGCUCAGCUGAUCCACUGAUAACUUAUUCACUGAUUAUAUCAGCUUUAAAGUCAGGGAGAAACCUUCACCCAGCCUAAAUAAAUUGGUCAAACACUUACAAUCAUAGAACCUGUAAGGCUGAUCAAAAGAUCCAGGUAUGUGUCUUCAGCAGGGGCCAACAUUGUGACCGCACAAGGAGCCCGCAGGCCUCGCAGCUCGGGCCCACUGAGAUGAAACCAAGCAAAACGGAACGUUGAGCCUCUAUUUGUUAAGGAGACAAAGGUCUGGUUUUCACACUGAGGUCACAGUUGCAUGGAGAAGAACGCAGGAACCCGCCAGGUAAACGGAUGUCAUUGUCCACCAACAAAAGUAUCGUCUUAACCCUGUGACCUCAUCAGCUUUGGGGAAUGCUCCUGUAUUGUCAGUCAGUCAUCAGAAGAGGGAGCCUGGCUCUUUUGAAGACACCGCCCAGACACCACAGGUAUUAGUUCCCUCGGGUCCCGGCAGUGCACUUGCAGAACACGGUACGAGGGACUCGUGGCAACACUUCCGUGUGCUUUUAAUGGCGUUGAACCAAAGCAGUUAUGAUACAAAGUAAUUCCCGCGCAACACAUCAUCACACGUUACGCAUGUCAACUCCUCAUGCCGGUUUCUCUUAGAGAGAAGCUCCCAGCUGCCCGUCUGCCUCCCUGUUCCUUCACUGCCCGUCAAAGCGACUUUCAGAAAAAUGCAGCAUCACUUGUUCUGUGAUCACGCUAAUCUGAAUGCUUUAGCAGAUUGAGAGCUUCGAGUGCUGAAAGCAAAAGCAACUCAAUCUUAGAAUUUAAAAGGCUUUUUUUUCUUCUUUGCCUCAUACAGCCUGCAGCCAAAUGGCACUUGUGUUCUGACACGGCACAUAAACACACACAAAAGAAGUUAUUAGCGUAGAUGCAAAUCAAAUUACUAGCAGUGUAAACUGCUAUUCCUCCCUGCACUUGGGCCUGUAAUUACUCUGGCUUAUAGGGCUAUAAUGAAUGCUAAUGACACACUACUGCAAGGCCAUCAGCCACAUGCUUGUGUGAGGUUGGGUGAUUUUCACUUAAGUUAUGAAAGCCCAUUUUGGUCUGCGUAGUUUGCGCCUCACUCCAUGCUCUGUGCAAGAUUAAGGAGAACAAUUAUUUUAGCAAAAGAACAUUUGCCUGGAAUAUGUUUCAACAGCAAAUCAUUUAAAAAUUAAAGGCCGUAAUUGGAUGCAUUCAACCAUAUCGUAUGUAAAGCAUUUUUUGCAUUUCAAAGAGGAUUACAAAUUCAACUGCACAAUGAGUCCUUGUGGAAAUGACAACAGCUGCACAUGCCUCAGAUCUGUCAGUGUUCAUCACUGAAUCUAAUUUCUUCGAGCCAAUAACCAUUUUUGCUGCUGGGAAAUCAACACACAGACAUAUUUGCAUACUUUAAUUUCACAACGUACAUUAUAUUGGCCUUGAAACGUCUACAUGUUAACUCAUGUAGACACGAUGUUUGGGUCUGACACAUAAUAACCAGCUGGCACAAAUAGACCUGAUUAUAAAUACGAUUGAUUGUGCUUUUAGACAGACACAGUUAGCACUGUAUAUAAAGAUAAUAGUGGUAAACUGCACAGCACCUUUCUAGACUUCCAACCAUUCAAAGCGCUUCAACACUACAUGACAUCGUUCACCCAUUCAUACACUGAUGACAGGAGAACCACACACAGAGACACCUGCCCAUCAGUAACUAGCAUUCACACACUGUAGUUGGGUUAAGUGUCUUGCCCAAGGACACGUCGGCAUGCAGGUUAGCCGAACCGAGGAUCGAACCGACAACCCUCUUACUGGAGGACGACCUGCUCCCCACUCACCCACAGCCGCCCAACUCAUCAAUAUGUUAAGUUGUGGUGAAAAAAUGAGUCAAUAACGAUGGUGGCAAGACGGAGUACAGAGAGGAGGUCAGAGAACUGAAAUCUUGGGACAUCAAUGGGAAAACAGUGCAAGUAGACGUUUACUUUGUUUUAAAGGGUCACUGAUUAUGAAAAGCUGGGAAUUACUGAGCCAACAAAAAGAUAUGGCAGAGAAAUAUAUUUACAUUAAAAAAUGAAGGUUGACAUUAAGAUUACUUUUGUAGAGCAGAAGUACAUCAUCUUAGCUUGACUCUUGAGAAACUGAAUUCAUUGUGUAGUUUAACAAACAGAGCCGGCCUUGCAUAUAACGCCAACAGUGGGACUGUUAGAAAACAUGCAUUAAACACCUAAGAAGUUUGAAAAGUCAUAAAAUGCUAAAAGAGGCUUAAGAACAUGUUCUUAUGCAGCAUGUCUUUACACCUAAACAGCACAUUAGUUUAUCUUAUAUAUGCUUACUGAAUGAUAUUGUAGACUUACUGAUAUAUCAGCCACAACCUGGAUUUUCUUCCCCUCAAACAGAAGAGCAAGCAGAAGCUCCCCCAUCGGCCGCCUGAAUAAGGAAUUUUUGAUGACCUGCGCUAAAGGUCACCAGUGCAGAAGAAAUGCUGCAGUACAGGAAAUCCAGGACAGCUCAGGGCUGCGUGGAUGCCCAAGAGAUAAGGACUGGGGAGGAAGUGAGGAGGACAAGGAGCAAGUGAGCCUUCUGCAACACUCUGGACCGGCAACAACUGGGAGCUUUCCAGCACUGUGCUCUCACUGAGAGGGGUGGAGGGAGUCGGGGCCGGCCGGUGGGACGGGAUGCAGAGUCGUACCAGCUAUUGAAAAACAGUUUCAAUGGUGGCCUACACUCACCACAGAGAAUUACUAUCACAUUCUGUGUCCCACCAAAGAAUGACACAUGCAUUAGAGAGAAGCGUAGCAUGCGACCGAAAUGCAAUCAAGAGACACAAUCAUAACACACCAUAUUAUAUAUAUAUAAUGUAUGACUUUGUCAUCCAAGUUGUUGUGUUGUUGUUGAAUACGGUAAAGGAGUAGUUCAUCUAUUUGGGAAAUGUUCUUACUUGCUUCCUGCCGCGCCAGAUGAGGAGACUUCUCGUGUGCUAAAUAUGAAGCUGUAUGUGCACAGAAAUAUACUGUGCACAGACGACUGCUACGGACACCUUAAAGUGUUAAGACAUUUAAAGGUUAAAACAGAGAUACACAAAAAAAUGAAUAGUGUAGUUGGCAUCAAGAAGUGAAACCAUUGAAUCAUUUCUGACCUUUUUGGAUUGUACUUAUGCCAAAAUGUAAAGCUCAUUGAACGUUCACAUUUACUUUAUAUAGUGCUAUUGCUAAUUAUGGAAGACACAAUUUCAGCUUUGCUUUGAGUGAAAAUGCGCCACGAGCAGAAGCAUCUGCUGAGGAACAGGAUCCUUUUUCUUUUUUUUCUUUUCAGAGCUCGGUGGACAAAGCAUCCGUAGUAAAUCUCAGAUCAAACAACAUGCUGAAAAGUUGGAUCUCAAAGUAAAUAGCCAUCGUCAAAGGGGCUGGAGAAGGGAGAGAAGAUUGUCUCAAAUGAAAGACACCCCAUUGAAAUCGUAUUGAGCUAUUUUCAGUCAGGCACCAAAAAAAAAAAGCGGGAGAAAAGAGUGCACUGGUAAAGGUCAGCGUGAACCCAGAUCAUAGAACCUGAAACAUGGCACACAGAUAAAGAGCACAGUGUGAAAUAUAUCAAUUACGCCUUGACAUUUUCCACAGAGACAAAAGAAGCCGGUAUAAUACGAUGGUGUGGCGGCGUCACCAGCACUCUGGCCCGGUUUGCCCAGUUACAUCCCAACUGGAUAUUAAAAAAAGCUUAAGUGGAAAGCAAGAAAUCAAAAGAGUUUAUAUCUGCCUAAUUUCAUGCGCUCUUCCAAUAUGUGUAAAAAUAUCAGUAACACCGGAUGAGCUUUGGGCGUGAACUUAAAAUGUUGUGUCUAACCUGGCUUUGGAUUUAGAUUAUUUGGCCUAUUUCAUUUCAAAGAGGAAGUUUGAGCCUCAGCGUUAUGCGCAUAGAAUGUCAAACAUUUUUUUUUGCCCGUUACAUUCGCAUGGUGGCCCCUGCGAGUUGCUCAUCCUCGACCCCUGAAGCCUGAAUCACUGCAAUUUCAAAACUAAAUGCUUUGCAAACGGUGAGGAAGCUGCUCACACUGCGCAGCGGGGCCUUCCUUCUCUUCUUCUGACAUUCAAAAACACCUACACAUGUACACAGUUGCUUCUUGUUUACAUGACAAACAUGAUGAGGAGGACUGUCGAUAAUAAAUGGAUGUAAACACCAGAUAUUUUUGUAACACAUUUUUUACAUUUGAGCACAUUGUGAUGUUUCAGGGAUCUCUGGUGGAUCAGACUGGACCAGGCCUUGAGAUGUGUAACGUUAAGCCUACUAGCAGGCCGUUAGUGAUGCCCUCAGGCUCCUGUGAUCUGCCUUCAAACAACACACAGAAAGGAAAGAUGUCUUCCCACCUGGUGUCCAUCUGGUCUUUCUUUGCUUUUUCUUUUUAAUGCUUCUACAAACUGAGGUUGACUACGAAACCGGAGGAGAGCGAAGUGAAGGCAGAAAGACCGGAGGAGCUGCUCUUCGCUUUCCUUCCUACUGUUUCUGGAAGUGCUGUGACAGCUGCCACGUAAAACAAGUAAGUACAUUUAAUAGCUUUUCAACCUUUGUUCUACUGCUGGCUGGGUUUGUACGCAUCCGCUGUUUCACACCAACACUGAUUUUACAGAUGCAUGGCAGGCAUGCACACUGCAUAUUUUUCGCUCAUCCAUUUGUCACACACAAUAUCUAUGUCACCGCUGAUCUCAUUUUGACACAACAUGCUGCAAUUAUGUAUCUCACCAAUGCAAGUGACAUACUGGAUUUGCCGGUGAUCGGCGCAGAUGAGUUCUGCUUUAUUUAAAACGUGUUUGCGUGCAACAAAAAAUAUUUAUAUACCGUAGAAAUAAAAAAUAUUCCAUGGAAUGAGAUUCAUGAGUUGUGCGGCGGCUACAGCAGCGCUGCAUUCACGGAAUACUUAACAUAACAUGUGUGUUAUAAGCUUUGAAGGUUGCGAUGUGACGGUUUAGCCUCCAAAAACAGUGUAACAAUUGAGACAAUGUGAUUUACUCGAGCAUCUUGUAGGAAGCUGGCUAUCAUGUCAGGAACUGGGAGGCACCUGAAUGUUACAUUCCCCAACAAUAAGGGAAAAUUAAGCCUCUUUACAAGGCUGAUAUCGUAUUCAUCUGCUGCUACGCGCCUCCUCAAGUAUAUGCCCUCAUAAUUAGUUGGCAUAAUCAACACUGUACUGCUUGGCCGCGAUAACAAUGUUGUACAGUGCACAUCAUUUAGUGUUUCUACAGACUGAAUGGAGAGUAAAGGGGCCACUUCUUAUUCAGACUCUACCGAGGCAAGGCAACUCAAUACAAACCAAAAGACUGCCGCAUUGCUCGCAAUUUAAUUUGGAAUAUAUUUAACCAUUUCAAAGCAACCACUGUCAUUUUAAAACCCUCGUCGUGAGGAACCCAAGGUUGUUCCUUUGGUUCCAUCAGGCCCUGACCAUCUGUAUUCAUUCAGCACAAGGAGAGUAGCUUGUCCAGUGAAAAUGAGGAGAGAUAAAGCAACUCCGUCUCCCCUAAAAACGAUGUGUGCACUAUUACUCAGCUCCAGAGUUGGACGGAAUUCCAACAAAACCUCUUUGGUUGCAAGUUAAAUGUUAGUCCUGUCCGGCGGGUUCUGUGUUAAACAGAAGACCACAAUCUCUUUGUGUGAAUUCCUGUUUACUUACGUUGCUGUUAUUGUCAGACUGGGUAUUUCUAAACUAUACGCGUAGACGGCUCACAUAUUAUUGAUUUGUUCAGCAUCAACCUUUAUGUAACAUGAGUGAUGAAGGUGGCCUUGUGAAGCAACUCGAGAACAGUCAUCAUGUUUCCUCUGCAUGUAUGUGUAAAUAAAUAGUGUUGUCUAAUCAUGCUAUGCAGAGCAAUACCUCUCUAAUGCUCGUUAGCGUUAGCUACAGUAACGUUAGCUGCCGUUAGCUAUAUGUAGGGCAUAAGCAGUCAAACGUUUAUUUUGUUUUACCUUCAAAAAUUUGUAUAGUAUCAUUAAAAUAUAUUUGGACUCUUGAGAGAAACUGUAUGAAGUGAUGAAUGAUAAAUCAGAGACAUAACGGAUACGUUAAAAGGUCUCACUUCAAUACCAGCUUGGAGUGUUGUACCUUCAUCAUUACGUCCUGUGCGUUACCCUCCUCUACAUCUUCUACGCGCAAUUGUUUUUUUUGGAUUAUUUUGUCAAACAAGUAGCUGCAACUUGGAUUAAAUAACUUUUUUUUAAUCGAGAAGGAAAAGAUAUGCUAGUCAACUAUCCCACAUCCCUUCAAGAAAUGGAGAUUAAUUUGAAGGUAAUCACGAGUGUGAAAAUUGCUGUUAUCUUCUCACGAUUCCUUUUGACUGCUAACGGCCUGUCUGGCUCUGAAGUCGUCCCGGUAAUAAAUAUUCAUAUACCUUUCAGGGUCUUUUGUUAUGUUGACUACCUUCCAUCAGUCUGAUCUGUUGUGGCAAGAAAACACAAAUAGUCGAGAAAAAAAAUUGAGAAAAAAAAAUCUAAGUAAAUAUAUAAAUAUUAAUGACAAUGACUGAAGGGAGGGGGGGGGGGUGUUUGGCACAUCAAAGACGCCUCUAUCUUUGUUGCAUGUAAACAGUGCGUGCCUUCAGUGAGUGGAGGAGCUCUUUUUAAUGAUCCCGUGGAAGAUUGCCACAACGACAAGCAUCCUGUAAUAAAUAAAAUUAACAAACAUUUCUGUAGGGUCUUUUCAAAAGGAAAGAGAGCCCAAUGUUUUUUUUUCAGAUAAGUGGUCCAUACAUUCCCUGCUCCUUCCUGAUUAGUCUAAUCCAGUGAGAAGUGCGUGCAGGGUUUUGAUUGAGUCAGCCGCCGAGGACCCCGAGGGGGAGCCCUCCUGAUAAGUGCCUUUACCUUUCACCUCCAGAACCCCACGCACGUCGCUCCGCCGUAUCCACACUCCCUCUAAUCUCAUUUGGCCCAGGAAGACAUGCUCAGGCACAAGAAGCUACGAUUAGCAUCCUCUUUACCAGGGGAUUCCACUGGCUUGGACUGCCAGUGCUGCCCCUCGACCGGAAGUCGCCGAAGGCUCUAAAUCAGCUCGACUGGUUCUGUGUGUGCGGUGUGCGUGUUGGCAUGCGUGUGUGCAUGCGUGUGUGCAUGCGUGUGUGUGUGUGUGUGUGUGUGUGUGUGUGCGUGUGGCUCAUGUGUGUGUGCUUCUGCAUCCGCCCUUCACGAGUGUGUGUUUGACAACUUGAUAUCAAAGGGGAGGGGGGGCUUUCCUCUAUUUACCUUCUUUGGAAUUUAUCAGAUUCACAUUUCCUGAUUGUCAGCUUUCCAAAAAGCAUGUGCUCUCUUUAUUUGAUUCAGUAUCUUGGAAAAACUGAGUUCCUGAGGUCAGAACUGCAACAGCCCGACCUAAUUCUGGUACCACUCCGCAUCUGGAAUUUAGGCGUGUGGCAAUUUUAAGCAUUUAGUUAAAAAAAGGUUGCAUUCAACAUUGGAGUGUGUGUCAGUGUCCGUCCACACUGCGCUCAGCCACAGGACACAAAGGGAGGAAGUCACUCAAGUUGGAAUCUAAUUGAAUCCAUCUUUCCAUUCAGCGCCCGCAUCACGUUGUGUUGUGUCCUCGAGCAGGGAGUGUCCUCAGGACAUGUCAUGGAGAUUGUUGAAAGACGUGACCUUUGAUUAAAGCGUCAUGAGAGCUCAUACAGAAUUUCGAUAAGUUUCCAGCAAAGUGCUACCACUGAUAAAGUCAUUUGUCACUCCCCAAAACUCAAACAACUGCAGAAAUACAUGACGUAAAUAUUUCCUGUUUUGAAAUGUAUCAGAUGGAGACAACAAAUCGAUAAAGAAAGGAUGAUAGCCGUUUUGACACAAGUUUUAGUUUGGACUUAAACUAGACUGUCAGUGUUCCAAUGGGAAUGUUUUUUCAAAUAAAUAACAAUAAUAUAUAAACAAGAUGUUACUGAAUAUGUGCAUCUCUGCAGAAUUGCUUAUCACAAAUAACUGUGCAAGAUAAAAGAGACCUCUUCAACAUUACCUAAAGAACUUAAUGAAACCUCAGCUAUGCUGAGCAUUUUACAAUUACAUAUAUUUUUGGGCGUAGCAGACGCAAGUAAAAAAAAUGAUAUAUCUCAAUGAGUCAAGAGGCAUCUAAGUGUAGAGCACAGUUUGACGUGUGGAACGUUGAGGAUUUCGAACAAUAAAGCCGUAGAACAAUGACUCAAACGUAACCAUGAUGCACAUGCACACCCAGCACACCCGCUAUUGUAAAUUAUGACACAUCUUUAAGCAUUGGGUGGAACCUGAGCGAGCAGGACGUGCACAAUAAUAAAUAUGAGGAAAUAAAUGAGGAAAUCAAGCAGACUGCUAAUCUCAGUGUGUGGUCACCAGCUUGUAGCAGCUUCUGGGGAAAGAAGGUUUUGAUAAACGUAUGGCUGCUCCGUCAGGCCGCUAUUGCCAAAAUUAUAAUCAUCUUGGGAGAUGAGAAAGAAGAAUGACCGACUGAAGGAUUGUUACUCUUUGUAUUUCUGUUUUGAAGGGAACUAAUAUAUGAGAAAAAGUUUGGAACACAAGACGAUUGACGUUUUUCUUUUAUUCUGAUGGGUCACUCCGGUAGGUGGGGGUCCCAUCAGUGACAUCACAGAUCCACGUUACCCAUGUGGGUCAAUGAAAAUACUGAACAAGGGUGAGGACUUUUUCUAAGAAUGUGCUGAAAAGUUACACAAAAUCCAAGGGGUGAUCACUACACCUUUAUUUGUGUAUGUAUUACAGUGUGAGGACAUUGGGGAUUAAACAUGUAAAAUUAAACACAUGGCUUAACGCCUAAUACAUAAACAAUAAAAAUGCUAAAUAUUAUUCCAAAAUAUCUAGUUGAAAUUUCCAUCACGAAUAAUUCGUCUGAUAUGCAGGUUUAAAUAGUAUGGACAUAUUUAGUGACUAAUGCAGCACGUGGUCUUUGACAGCGUCCCGGGAAAACAGCAUCAGCAGCAUCAGCAGGUUAAAUGUUGAAGGCCUGAAGAGACGCGGGAGAAGUUCCCAAGUGCGAAAAACGAAUGAGGAAAUUCAAUUUGAAAAUUGUUAAAAGACUGAGAACAUUGUUUGCAAGUCAAUCGAUUUGGCCGCCCGGAGCGCGGCAGCAACAUGGACGUGAUGGAUGCGAGUGAUGCGCAAGCUUGAAUUGUUUCUCGGUGAAGCGCGUAACGGCCGAUGCUUUUCCCCACAUCUGUAUCUCGCGGUGUCGGCCCACAUGUACAUGCGUGGUGAAUAAAACAGAGACGUGCACUGUCUUCAUGCGCGUCUGGGAGGGAAUAAAGUCUCGGUGUGAAUCACUUAUCCCGACCGGCGCGCCGCAUUAAACAACCGUGGCGUGAUUCCCCUCUUUUCUCUCUCUCUCAGCUCAUCCCUUCCCCCGUUCUUUCUUUUUUUCUUCGUUCUUUCUUUAUCAGCUCGUUCACGAUUUCAUUUCUUUCAAAUGAGAAUUCGGGGACCCCCAAAUUCAACCCCCCGCGUCUUCAAACAACACAACUGUACGGGUUUCACUUCUUUCUCCCGUCAAAAUGGUAUCCCAGAUUCAAUUUUAGAUACAGGCUAAGGAUUUAGACAGUGAUGAUUUUCUUCUUCUUCUUUUUUAGGUCUGUCGGAGACAAUAUUUAAUAUGCUGAAAUUAGAUCAGUUUACCCCCCCCCCAUCCCGCCGUCCCUAUUUUUUAUUUAGAAUUUCUUAAUAUAUGUUUGUGUCAAAU